RNAcentral lists this microRNA (22 nucleotides) under Caenorhabditis briggsae. RNAcentral's name for it is "Cbr-Mir-281-P3_5p* (star (passenger))". Lineage: Eukaryota; Metazoa; Nematoda; Chromadorea; Rhabditida; Rhabditidae. RNAcentral also lists the same sequence under 2 other names. The record is from RNAcentral.
AAGAGAGCCGUCUAUUGACAGU